GCACCUGUAGCUCAGAUGGACAGAGCACAAAAUUACGAAUUUUGGGGUCGGGGGUUCGAAUCCCUUCAGGUGUU
This is a transfer RNA of 74 nucleotides. It matches the Rfam family "tRNA". From Rfam's summary of the family: Transfer RNA (tRNA) molecules are approximately 80 nucleotides in length. Their secondary structure includes four short double-helical elements and three loops (D, anti-codon, and T loops).